AAGCAAUUCGUGCAUUAAAUCACAGUAAUUUCGGUAAUAUUGACGCAUAUGCAAAUGCUGCAGGACUUGGUUUCGGGGAAGAUGAUUGGCUCGGGUAAACAGCGUGGUGGUCUAUACUACAUGCAUCCAUCAACAAAUAAAUCGGUUGUCUUUCAUGUUUCUCAACCGUCUGACUUAUGGCAUUUACGCCUGGGUCAUCCCUCUUUUUCUCGUUUUAAAUUAUUAUCACAUUUGCUUCCAGAUGUUCAUAAAGAAUUAGGAAAUCAUUGUCCAAUUUGCCCA
Molecule: long non-coding RNA, 282 nt
Organism: Vitis riparia (riverbank grape)
Lineage: Eukaryota; Viridiplantae; Streptophyta; Magnoliopsida; Vitales; Vitaceae
Exons: 2
Source: RefSeq, a predicted model, not a curated record